GUCAUCAUUAGAGCUCCUGCACUGAAGAACCUGAUUCCUUGGUUUCUUUAAUUGAUUUUAAGCCUCUUGGUCUUAUUGGGGAGCUCCUUAUAAAGUAGAUCAAGACAGAUACUUUGCAACCACUGAUAAACUUGUGAUCUUCUCAUCUGUCUGUAAAAACUGUAUAGGAGUAAAUUUGUUUUUUUACAUAUUUGUAGCUGUAAAUAAGUAUUAUAUCUUUUGUUUUAAAAAGUGGGAACAUUUCAAAAUCAUGUCUUACUGGGGAUAUUUUACAGGUGAAAAAAAUCUGAUUAAUACAACAGAGUACUGCCUGACAGACCUGCAUGAGAAUUGAGCUCUUCAAAUGGCAGAGCUACAGAAGACACAUCUAUGUUAGGUCAUACUUCUUG
This 389-nucleotide long non-coding RNA is filed under the name Corvus moneduloides (New Caledonian crow). RNAcentral's name for it is "lncRNA (ENSCMUG00000017252.1)". Lineage: Eukaryota; Metazoa; Chordata; Aves; Passeriformes; Corvidae. The record is from RNAcentral.